Molecule: ribosomal RNA, 483 nt
Filed under: uncultured bacterium
Lineage: Bacteria
Description: partial 16S ribosomal RNA
Rfam family: Bacterial small subunit ribosomal RNA
Source: RNAcentral
GACGAACGCUGGCGGCGUGCUUAACACAUGCAAGUCGAACGAUGAAGCUGGAGCUUGCUCCGGUGGAUUAGUGGCGAACGGGUGAGUAACACGUGAGCAAUCUGAGCUUGUCUAUGGGAUCAGUGCGGGAAACUGUAGCUAAUACCGGAUAUGAGAUCUGAAGGCAUCUUCGGGCUUGGAAAGAAUUUGGGUCAAGGAUGAGCUCGCGGCCUAUCAGCUAGUUGGUGAGGUAAUGGCUCACCAAGGCGACGACGGGUAGCCGGCCUGGGAGGGUGGACGGCCACACUGGAACUGAGACACUGUCCAGACUCCUACGGGAGGCAGCAGUGGGGAAUAUUGCACAAUGGGCGAAAGCCUGAUGCAGCAACGCCGCGUGAGGGAUGAAGGCCUUCGGGUUGUAAACCUCUUUUAGCAGGGAAGAAGCGAAAGUGACGGUACCUGCAGAAAAAGCACCGGCUAACUACGUGCCAGCCGCCGCAGUAA